GAGUUUGAUCGUGGCUCAGAUUGAACGCUGGCGGCAUGCCUUACACAUGCAAGUCGAACGGCAGCAUGAUCUAGCUUGCUAGAUUGAUGGCGAGUGGCGAACGGGUGAGUAAUACAUCGGAACGUGCCCUGUAGUGGGGGAUAACUAGUCGAAAGAUUAGCUAAUACCGCAUACGACCUGAGGGUGAAAGUGGGGGGACCGCAAGGCCUCAUGCUAUAGGAGCGGCCGAUGUCUGAUUAGCUAGUUGGUGGGGUAAAGGCCCACCAAGGCGACGAUCAGUAGCUGGUCUGAGAGGACGAUCAGCCACACUGGGACUGAGACACGGCCCAGACUCCUACGGGAGGCAGCAGUGGGGAAUUUUGGACAAUGGGCGAAAGCCUGAUCCAGCAAUGCCGCGUGUGUGAAGAAGGCCU
RNAcentral lists this ribosomal RNA (413 nucleotides) under uncultured microorganism. Its description in RNAcentral is "bacterial SSU rRNA". It matches the Rfam family "Bacterial small subunit ribosomal RNA", at positions 9 to 417 of the family's 1533-position model. The record is from RNAcentral.